CGGGUGAGUAACGCGUGAGGAACCUGCCUCAAAGAGGGGGACAACAGUUGGAAACGACUGCUAAUACCGCAUAAGCCCACGGCUCGGCAUCGAGCAGAGGGAAAGGGAGCAAUCCGCUUUGAGAUGGCCUCGCGUCCGAUUAGCUAGUUGGUGAGGUAACGGCCCACCAAGGCGACGAUCGGUAGCCGGACUGAGAGGUUGAACGGCCACAUUGGGACUGAGACACGGCCCAG
RNAcentral lists this ribosomal RNA (233 nucleotides) under uncultured bacterium. RNAcentral describes it as "partial 16S ribosomal RNA". It matches the Rfam family "Bacterial small subunit ribosomal RNA", at positions 103 to 334 of the family's 1533-position model. The record is from RNAcentral.